This is a long non-coding RNA of Bombina bombina (fire-bellied toad), 380 nucleotides long. RefSeq lists it as uncharacterized. The transcript is spliced from 3 exons. The record is from RefSeq and is a predicted model, not a curated record. Lineage: Eukaryota; Metazoa; Chordata; Amphibia; Anura; Bombinatoridae.
AUGCCUACCCCCACAGCAAUGCUCUCCUCCACAGCAAUGCCUACCCCCACAGCCAUGCCCACCACCACAGCAAUGCCAGGAUCCUUGCAAACCAGUGUGCCCUGAACCUGUGCAGAAAUGUCCUCCUGUUCAAGAACCAUGCAAACCACAAUGUCCUCAGGACCAGCAGAAAUGUGUUAAGAAAUAAAGAAGCAAACUAGUUCUAUCUGUUGAUCCAAGAUACAAGCAUUACCUUAACUACUGUAUUUAUUGUGUAUUGACCAUCCAAUGGCUAAAACAAUAUACUGUACCAAUUGUUAUGGUGAAUGUACCAGUCAAUACCUGUUCCUUUUAUUGAGGCACAGUAUUUUAAAAAUUGAAUAAAAGUUGGUUUAACAAUU